CUAAGGUGUUACCUCCAUUCCCACCUAAGGUCUUCCCUCCAAAAAUUCCAAUCUUCAAGAAGCCUCUUCCUCCACCAGUGCCAAUCUACAAGAAGCCUCUCCCUCCACCAGUGCCGGUAUACAAGAAGCCGGUCCCUCCCCCCGUCCCGGUCUACAAGAAGCCUCACCCUCCGCCCGUCCCAAUCUACAAGAAACCUCUCCCUCCACCUGUCCCAGUCUAUAAGAAGCCUAACCCUCCACCAGUCCCAGUAUACAAGAAACCUUACCCUCCACCAACACCAAUCUACAAGAAACCUCUCCCUCCUCCCGUCCCAGUCUAUAAGAAGCCUAACCCUCCACCAGUCCCAGUAUACAAGAAACCUUGCCCUCCACCAAAACCAAUCUACAAGAAACCUCUCCCUCCACCUGUCCCAAUCUAUAAGAAGCCUCUUCCACCACCAGUUCCAGUAUACAAGAAGCCACUUCCACCACUAGUCCCC
RNAcentral lists this long non-coding RNA (479 nucleotides) under Malus domestica (apple). RNAcentral's name for it is "long non-coding RNA (MDOM_LNC004855)". The record is from RNAcentral. Lineage: Eukaryota; Viridiplantae; Streptophyta; Magnoliopsida; Rosales; Rosaceae.